UGUUUUUGUGUCUCCAGUCUUACAGUGUGCCAUUCCUCAUGCCUGAAGGAAACAAUUAUUUUCAUCUUUUUGGAGAACGAGAUCUGGAUGGCGUAGUGGCAGCCAUGCCAUCAGAGGCCCCCUGGAACCCAUCCCAGUUCCAAAAAAAAGGAAGCGUAAAGAGGAUAAGGGAACGUAUAUAAAGAAACCUCCCAAUGCGUUCAUGUUUUUCUUAAAAAGCGAGAGGAAGACGGUACAAGAAGAGCUUGGCAUCAGGAACAGUGCCGUUGUAAACAAACUUCUUUCUGAACGUUGGAAGUCAAUGUCAGCAGAAAAAAAAAAAAGGCCUUUCAAACACAAGCCAAAGAGGAAGCUCGUAUUCACGCUUUAAAUAAUCCCGACUGGAGCAACAAAGUCAACUACAACUAUGUUUACACAUCAGUCUUAGAGGUGAUGACGCCAUGACUGUGGAAGUAUUUUAUCAGCUGACUAGAAGUUUCAUGUGUCUGUU
This 490-nucleotide long non-coding RNA is filed under the name Gouania willdenowi (blunt-snouted clingfish). RNAcentral's name for it is "lncRNA (ENSGWIG00000016628.1)". The record is from RNAcentral. Lineage: Eukaryota; Metazoa; Chordata; Actinopteri; Blenniiformes; Gobiesocidae.